This 2787-nucleotide ribosomal RNA is filed under the name Escherichia coli. RNAcentral describes it as "bacterial LSU rRNA". It matches the Rfam family "Bacterial large subunit ribosomal RNA". Lineage: Bacteria; Pseudomonadati; Pseudomonadota; Gammaproteobacteria; Enterobacterales; Enterobacteriaceae. The record is from RNAcentral.
AGCGUACACGGUGGAUGCCCUGGCAGUCAGAGGCGAUGAAGGACGUGCUAAUCUGCGAUAAGCGUCGGUAAGGUGAUAUGAACCGUUAUAACCGGCGAUUUCCGAAUGGGGAAACCCAGUGUGUUUCGACACACUAUCAUUAACUGAAUCCAUAGGUUAAUGAGGCGAACCGGGGGAACUGAAACAUCUAAGUACCCCGAGGAAAAGAAAUCAACCGAGAUUCCCCCAGUAGCGGCGAGCGAACGGGGAGCAGCCCAGAGCCUGAAUCAGUGUGUGUGUUAGUGGAAGCGUCUGGAAAGGCGCGCGAUACAGGGUGACAGCCCCGUACACAAAAAUGCACAUACUGUGAGCUCGAUGAGUAGGGCGGGACACGUGGUAUCCUGUCUGAAUAUGGGGGGACCAUCCUCCAAGGCUAAAUACUCCUGACUGACCGAUAGUGAACCAGUACCGUGAGGGAAAGGCGAAAAGAACCCCGGCGAGGGGAGUGAAAAAGAACCUGAAACCGUGUACGUACAAGCAGUGGGAGCACGCUUAGGCGUGUGACUGCGUACCUUUUGUAUAAUGGGUCAGCGACUUAUAUUCUGUAGCAAGGUUAACCGAAUAGGGGAGCCGAAGGGAAACCGAGUCUUAACUGGGCGUUAAGUUGCAGGGUAUAGACCCGAAACCCGGUGAUCUAGCCAUGGGCAGGUUGAAGGUUGGGUAACACUAACUGGAGGACCGAACCGACUAAUGUUGAAAAAUUAGCGGAUGACUUGUGGCUGGGGGUGAAAGGCCAAUCAAACCGGGAGAUAGCUGGUUCUCCCCGAAAGCUAUUUAGGUAGCGCCUCGUGAAUUCAUCUCCGGGGGUAGAGCACUGUUUCGGCAAGGGGGUCAUCCCGACUUACCAACCCGAUGCAAACUGCGAAUACCGGAGAAUGUUAUCACGGGAGACACACGGCGGGUGCUAACGUCCGUCGUGAAGAGGGAAACAACCCAGACCGCCAGCUAAGGUCCCAAAGUCAUGGUUAAGUGGGAAACGAUGUGGGAAGGCCCAGACAGCCAGGAUGUUGGCUUAGAAGCAGCCAUCAUUUAAAGAAAGCGUAAUAGCUCACUGGUCGAGUCGGCCUGCGCGGAAGAUGUAACGGGGCUAAACCAUGCACCGAAGCUGCGGCAGCGACGCUGAUGCGUUGUUGGGUAGGGGAGCGUUCUGUAAGCCUGCGAAGGUGUGCUGUGAGGCAUGCUGGAGGUAUCAGAAGUGCGAAUGCUGACAUAAGUAACGAUAAAGCGGGUGAAAAGCCCGCUCGCCGGAAGACCAAGGGUUCCUGUCCAACGUUAAUCGGGGCAGGGUGAGUCGACCCCUAAGGCGAGGCCGAAAGGCGUAGUCGAUGGGAAACAGGUUAAUAUUCCUGUACUUGGUGUUACUGCGAAGGGGGGACGGAGAAGGCUAUGUUGGCCGGGCGACGGUUGUCCCGGUUUAAGCGUGUAGGCUGGUUUUCCAGGCAAAUCCGGAAAAUCAAGGCUGAGGCGUGAUGACGAGGCACUACGGUGCUGAAGCAACAAAUGCCCUGCUUCCAGGAAAAGCCUCUAAGCAUCAGGUAACAUCAAAUCGUACCCCAAACCGACACAGGUGGUCAGGUAGAGAAUACCAAGGCGCUUGAGAGAACUCGGGUGAAGGAACUAGGCAAAAUGGUGCCGUAACUUCGGGAGAAGGCACGCUGAUAUGUAGGUGAAGUCCCUCGCGGAUGGAGCUGAAAUCAGUCGAAGAUACCAGCUGGCUGCAACUGUUUAUUAAAAACACAGCACUGUGCAAACACGAAAGUGGACGUAUACGGUGUGACGCCUGCCCGGUGCCGGAAGGUUAAUUGAUGGGGUCAGCGCAAGCGAAGCUCUUGAUCGAAGCCCCGGUAAACGGCGGCCGUAACUAUAACGGUCCUAAGGUAGCGAAAUUCCUUGUCGGGUAAGUUCCGACCUGCACGAAUGGCGUAAUGAUGGCCAGGCUGUCUCCACCCGAGACUCAGUGAAAUUGAACUCGCUGUGAAGAUGCAGUGUACCCGCGGCAAGACGGAAAGACCCCGUGAACCUUUACUAUAGCUUGACACUGAACAUUGAGCCUUGAUGUGUAGGAUAGGUGGGAGGCUUUGAAGUGUGGACGCCAGUCUGCAUGGAGCCGACCUUGAAAUACCACCCUUUAAUGUUUGAUGUUCUAACGUUGACCCGUGAUCCGGGUUGCGGACAGUGUCUGGUGGGUAGUUUGACUGGGGCGGUCUCCUCCUAAAGAGUAACGGAGGAGCACGAAGGUUGGCUAAUCCUGGUCGGACAUCAGGAGGUUAGUGCAAUGGCAUAAGCCAGCUUGACUGCGAGCGUGACGGCGCGAGCAGGUGCGAAAGCAGGUCAUAGUGAUCCGGUGGUUCUGAAUGGAAGGGCCAUCGCUCAACGGAUAAAAGGUACUCCGGGGAUAACAGGCUGAUACCGCCCAAGAGUUCAUAUCGACGGCGGUGUUUGGCACCUCGAUGUCGGCUCAUCACAUCCUGGGGCUGAAGUAGGUCCCAAGGGUAUGGCUGUUCGCCAUUUAAAGUGGUACGCGAGCUGGGUUUAGAACGUCGUGAGACAGUUCGGUCCCUAUCUGCCGUGGGCGCUGGAGAACUGAGGGGGGCUGCUCCUAGUACGAGAGGACCGGAGUGGACGCAUCACUGGUGUUCGGGUUGUCAUGCCAAUGGCACUGCCCGGUAGCUAAAUGCGGAAGAGAUAAGUGCUGAAAGCAUCUAAGCACGAAACUUGCCCCGAGAUGAGUUCUCCCUGACUCCUUGA